GUGAAAUUACGUAAAUAAUAACACUUUUCGAGCCAGGCAUCAAAGCUGAACAAUUUUCUGUUCUCCAUACUUGAGGUAAAAUAUUUUGUUUGAACCAAACAUAAACAAAUCCGUUUUGAAGGCCAAACAGAAAGUCACUCGAAACAUGCUUCCAAAAUUGUACAGCGUAUCAUCGGUUGUUAAUUUAUUAUAUACAAACGUAAUCCGAGUCAUUUAAUGACAACGAGAUGUUCCACACGCACAUUGUUUCGACCUUUCCAGAUUGGGCUGUAUGUGCACACGGUGAUAGCUGCAGUAACAAUCAUAUCAAUAUGUAUAUGAAUACAUAAAUAGUUUCCAUAAUCCAAAAUAUGUUCCUUAUUUAAACCUUCAAGAAACAGUAUGCCGUGACCAUUCCUGUGUGUAUUUACAGAGAAAACCUUUCGGUAUUUUGUGAACUUCAGUGUCAAGGACAACAAUUGGGUUCAAUUCCAACUCAGCAAUCAUCACUCAUGGACUAAAUACAUAUUAAAGCUACAAAUAUUCAUAUAUACAACCGAUAUUAGCAGUACGUGCUCAUUUGGAGCCAGGAAAAAUUCCUUGUGGUUAGUCCAAGCAACCAUUUCUUCACGUAAAUGCUUUUGGCAUAUGUUAUUUUGAGUAGAAAACACACGCGUUACUUGGGCCAAAAUGAAGAUAAUGAGGUAUUUAUGAAACUUCUGAUUCCUGCUUAGCACGCCAAUCUUUAAGUAAUAUAAUGUGUUCCUUUAAUGUGAAGGGUCAGUGAGGAAUGUUCAACAUUGAUUCUGCUUGUAGAUUUCCAGUCUGAAAUAUGACACUCACAAAUCUAAGCACAAAUGGACUUGUCAACCCAAGAAAUCCAAAAAAUUAUUCUUCAGCAUAAAGUGUGCUUUUUACCUGAAACACAACAUUUUACAUUUAACGUUAGUUUUCAUAGAAGGAUCUUAUUAUAAUAACGUCACAACAUUAUAUUCAUAUAUACCCUUGAUAUCAGUGUGAUUCUUACAAAUGAAUACCUUGUUUUAGAACACAACGUAAAAAGGAAGGUUUUGCCUCUCGUUUUACAAAAUA
Haliotis rubra (blacklip abalone) is the source of this 1071-nucleotide long non-coding RNA. RefSeq lists it as uncharacterized. Lineage: Eukaryota; Metazoa; Mollusca; Gastropoda; Lepetellida; Haliotidae. The record is from RefSeq and is a predicted model, not a curated record. The transcript is spliced from 2 exons.